This is a long non-coding RNA of Rhagoletis pomonella (apple maggot), 243 nucleotides long. RefSeq lists it as uncharacterized. The record is from RefSeq and is a predicted model, not a curated record. Lineage: Eukaryota; Metazoa; Arthropoda; Insecta; Diptera; Tephritidae. The transcript has 2 exons.
GUUACGAAUUCGUAGCUCCGUUCCGAAAAUUCGAAAAUUGAAUUCGCUUCGCUCCGACACCAGUUGCUCUUCGUAGAAAAUUUCCGACAAAUACAUACAAAUUACAGCUACGUCGGAUUCAGGCAUACCAACGUUACGAAUUUCGAAGAUGGUCUCCGAAUUUCGAAAUUGCGAUACGGCAACGCGGAUUACAGCAUACCAAUUUUAAGAUUCGUAGCAAAAUCGAAUCUACGACGGAUUACA